GACGCAUUAUUAGUAGAAACCAAAACUCAAUUAUUUUAUUCCGAACUAUGCGCAACCUGAUUUUAGCUGUGACAGGAUAUGUAAGCGCUUUCGAGCUCGAUCAUCACAAAAGAAAAACCUAAAAACCCUUAGGGAACCCAAAAGACACAAAAGUCGAAAAGAAGCGGCAAAGUUCGAAGUACGAGAAGCAACACAAGAGUUAGCCAAUGUCAACCCUAAACUGGGUAGAAUUUUUUAGGAGACCUAAAAAUUCCCUUCAAGACAAUCAGCAAAAGAAGACGAUAAACCCAGACCGUACAUUGGGGCAGAAUUUUUUAGGGGACCUCAAAAAUUCCUGUACAUCGAGACGACACAAGAGUCGAGCAACUCGAGACCUAAAACUGGGGCAAAAUUUUUUAGAAGGAUCUGAAAAAUUCCACCAGUUCAGGAAUACGGCAACAGGACUUCCUCGGAAGACGAGAGGACCUCGUUCAGAAAUACAUGUCAUGACAUUUAAAAUAAACAAGAUUUUCAAAGAAAACAACACAUAUUUUAUAACUUUAUCUGAGUUUUUUCAAACAAUAGUUAGCGUAAGUUCAUUCUAAAAGCCAUCUCUUAAAUGGCAAGUCCAAGAGGAGAGGAUUCAGAGAAGCAGCCAAGAGAAGACACCAGACGGAAGACGACAACGCUAAUCGGCCUCUUAGAAAACUAACUUAUUUUUGUAGAUACAGGUUUCGCAAUAUCAAAUAGGAAGACAGCUAUGUCACUAACCGGUUUGCUCAUGGUAAAAAGGAAAGGCAAACUCAACAAGACCUUAGCCAGGAGGGUUACAAGAUGGAUGAACGGGAGAAACAUACAUCUGACCAAAAGGGUCGUAAAAUGGACGAAAAAGCAUACAUCCGACCAAAAGGAUUAGGACAGAGAAGAAGGACAUAUUCUACCAAAAGAGUCAAAACGGACAAAAAAGGCGCAUUCGACCACAAGGGUCACAACCAACACUACAGACAAAAGAAAGAUCAUCCAGCUGCAAGGGCCAUAUCUGUUACUUGCAUUCCAAAAGGGCCAUUUCAUUCAAACAACAAGCAUAUGCACGCCAAAAGGGUCAUUUCAUUCAAACAAAAAGCAUAUGCAUGCCAAAAGGGCCAUUUUAUUCAAAAGAAAAAAAAGCAUUUGCAUGCCAAAAGGGCCAUUUUAUUCAAAAAAAAAAAAAAAACAUUUGCAUGCCAAAAGGGCCAUUCGUACAAACAAAAGCCUCUGCAUACCAAAAAGGCCAUUCAUACAAAAAAAAAGCGUCUGCAUGCCAAAAGGACCAUUUCAUUCAAACAAAAAGCAUGUGCAUGCCAAAAGGGCCAUUUUAUUCAAACAAAAAUCAUCUGCAUGCCAAAAGGGCCAUUCAUACAAACAAAAACAUUUGCAUGCCAAAAAGGCCAUUCAUACAAACAAAAAGCAAAUGCAUGCCAAAAGAGACAUUUAUACAAACAAAUGCAUCUGCAUGCCAAAAGGGUCAUUCAUUCAUAAAAACAAAAAGCAUAUGCAUGCCACAAGGGCCAUUCAUUCAAACAAGCAUUGCAAUAAGGGCUAUUCAUACCAACAAGAGCAUCGCCACAAGGGCCAUUAAUUCAAACAAAUCGUCGCCAAAAGGGUAAUUCAUCAAAAAGAUCAUGCAUACAUCACGGGGUAUAUCUGCAAAGCUGUCAACAGACGAAAAGAGGUAUAGAGCCGCCAGAAAGGAGCACGCCGCUGAACCGGAUCCAAACACUUGCGGAGCAAACAUGAAACUUUUUCUUGCGUAGCCGAUCAAGAUAGGGUGCCCAUGAGAAUCAAGCUCUCCAGCCAGGAUUUGGAAGCCAUCCGAUCUCAGACUUAGCCACAAUUUGUCUGUUUAUCUUCUUUCUUUGCUAAAAACCACAACUGGUCAGAUACACACCAAAAAAUUCGAAGGUAUUCCCGUUUUCAUCUGAUUCAACGAUCAUAUGAAGUACAAAUCCCUUAAAGGGAUUUGUCUCGUUCUGUUUUGAAUACUUGCAUCUCAUUGGGACAUCCGAAUAGGACUGGAUCGACAAAAAAUGGUUGGAAUCUAGCCCUUAGUAGUCUGUUUCCAUUCAAUCACAUCAGUCAAACAAUAACUCACGGGAAAAAUCCCCAGAAUUUCUACAACUCUCAAAUCGACAACUUAGAGUUUUGGAUCGAUUUUGGGGUUCUAUAAGUAGAACCCCAUUUCUCACAUAUAGACAGAGAGACAAGUAUGAAACCCAGAUUUUGAGCAUUCACACUCGAAAUUAGGGUUAUUAGUUCAAAGUUUUAGACUUAGCCUUGAAGUUGAGUCAUUAGUUUAAAAAAAUUGCCUUUGUUUUCAUUGUGUGGUAGCUGAGGAUGGGAUUGGAAGAACAAAAGGAGCUUUCAAAUCCAUUCUUGAUCAAGGUUGCACUAAAAAUAAGACCUUCCUGUUAGGCUACGGCCCAACAUGCCAUUCUUUCAACAAAACAGUCUGGUAAAGCCGUGAACGGGAAGCUAUUAUUGAACGUGAUUGCAUGAAGGCCCAGCCAUGAGUAGAAAUGACCAACUAGGGGCUUGGUACACCUCUAGCCUGUCCCUUUCUUUAUUUAUGUUAUUUCAUUGCUAUGUAACUGUUGUAUUGUAUUUAUCAAGUUGUAAAAACUCACUGGUAUUGGAAUCCUUUUGAUUACGAA
This is a long non-coding RNA of Lycium barbarum (goji berry), 2669 nucleotides long. RefSeq lists it as uncharacterized. The record is from RefSeq and is a predicted model, not a curated record. NCBI's taxonomy places the organism in Eukaryota, Viridiplantae, Streptophyta, Magnoliopsida, Solanales, Solanaceae. The transcript is spliced from 2 exons.